Long non-coding RNA from Octopus bimaculoides (California two-spot octopus), 704 nucleotides. The record is from RefSeq and is a predicted model, not a curated record. Lineage: Eukaryota; Metazoa; Mollusca; Cephalopoda; Octopoda; Octopodidae.
UUUCAUGUUAAGAAAAUAUCUUAAUAUCUUAGCAAUUUUUCUCGCCGAUCACCUGUCGAAAUUGGUGUUCCUGUAUGUGUCAAUUUUUCCAUCUAAUUUUUGGUCCUGUGCCCCUGCCCGUUCACUGUCUUUGACUUGUUUGUCAUAAAUUUCUUCUUUUCAAUCGAAACGAAGCAUGAUUCUAUUCCGUUUCUCUGCUUUCCUUCCAAUUUUUGCUCAACCAGAUUCGUGAGAUAAUCGUCGACACACUCCAGAACAUUGUCAGAAACGCAACCACUGACCAGGAAUUAAUAGACAGAGUAAACCAAGCCAAAUAUUCGCCUCUUUUCACUUCAUGCUACGAGGAAGCUAUCGACCAUUUGCACUACACAUGUGUCGAAUUUCAAAACCAUGAAUUCCUCUUAACCCAACUUGGUCUAUUCGUCAACCUAUGUAACGAAAAUGUACCAGUCGGUUCCAUUACAUCAGCAAUCGACAUGGUCUGUGGCAGACGACACUAUAUUUGAAGCGUUGUUAUAUAUAAAAAGAUAUCUUCCUUCACGUCUCCGUUGAGAUUGAGGAGAAUCAAGAUGAUAAUGGCGUGUUUAUUCAGUGGAAAAGAAAGGAUAUCUUUUGUGAAAAGAACCACAAUUUCAUUGGUGAAGGAAAUAUACGGCAGCAACAUUAUUUACGAUAAUAAAAUUAAAAUAUAUAAAAAAGUAAAA